AUUGAACGCUGGCGGCAGGCCUAACACAUGCAAGUCGAGCGGCAGCGGGAAAGUAGCUUGCUACUUUUGCCGGCGAGCGGCGGACGGGUGAGUAAUGCCUGGGAAAUUGCCCAGUCGAGGGGGAUAACAGUUGGAAACGACUGCUAAUACCGCAUACGCCCUACGGGGGAAAGCACGGGACCUUCGGGCCUUGCGCGAUUGGAUAUGCCCAGGUGUGAUUAGCUAGUUGGGUAGGUAAUGGCUCAACAAGGCGACGACCCCUAGCUGGUCUGAGAGGAUGAUCAGCCACACUGGAACUGAGACACGGUCCAGACUCCUACGGGAGGCAGCAGUGGGGAAUAUUGCACAAUGGGGGAAACCCUGAUGCAGCCAUGCCGCGUGUGUGAAGAAGGCCUUCGGGUUGUAAAGCACUUUCAGCGAGGAGGAAAGGUUGAUGCCUAAUACGUAUCAACUGUGACGUUACUCGUAGAAGAAGCACCGGCUAACUCCGUGCCAGCAGCCGCCGCAG
Molecule: ribosomal RNA, 508 nt
Filed under: uncultured bacterium
Lineage: Bacteria
Description: partial 16S ribosomal RNA
Rfam family: Bacterial small subunit ribosomal RNA
Source: RNAcentral